AAAAGGUGGCUAUGCUACCGCUUUUGGAUGGGCCCGCGGCGCAUUAGCUAGUUGGUGGGGUAAAGGCUUACCAAGGCAAUGAUGCGUAGCCGAACUGAGAGGUUGAUCGGCCACAUUGGGACUGAGACACGGCCCAAACUCCUACGGGAGGCAGCAGUAGGGAAUCUUCCACAAUGGGCGAAAGCCUGAUGGAGCAACGCCGCGUGGGUGAAGAAGGUCUUCGGAUCGUAAAACCCUGUUGUUAGAGAAGAAAGUGCGUGAGAGUAACUGUUCACGUUUCGACGGUAUCUAACCAGAAAGCCACGGCUAACUACGUGCCAGCAGCCGCGGUAAUACGUAGGUGGCAAGCGUUAUCCGGAUUUAUUGGGCGUAAAGGGAACGCAGGCGGUCUUUUAAGUCUGAUGUGAAACCCUUCGGCUUAACCGGAGUAGUGCAUUGGAAACUGGGAGACUUGAGUGCAGAAGAGGAGAGUGGAACUCCAUGUGUAGCGGUGAAAUGCGUAGAUAUAUGGAAGAACACCAGUGGCGAAAGCGGCUCUCUGGUCUGUAACUGACGCUGAGGUUCGAAAGCGUGGGUAGCAAACAGGAUUAGAUACCCUGGUAGUCCACGCCGUAAACGAUGAAUGCUAAGUGUUGGAGGGUU
Molecule: ribosomal RNA, 642 nt
Filed under: uncultured bacterium
Lineage: Bacteria
Description: bacterial SSU rRNA
Rfam family: Bacterial small subunit ribosomal RNA
Source: RNAcentral